RNAcentral lists this transfer RNA (73 nucleotides) under Ailuropoda melanoleuca (giant panda). It matches the Rfam family "tRNA". From Rfam's summary of the family: Transfer RNA (tRNA) molecules are approximately 80 nucleotides in length. Lineage: Eukaryota; Metazoa; Chordata; Mammalia; Carnivora; Ursidae. The record is from Rfam by way of RNAcentral.
GCCUGGCGGGCUCAGCCAGUGGAGCGUGUGAUUUUUGAUCUCCAGGUUGUGGGUUCAAGCCCCACGUUGGGUG